This 254-nucleotide ribosomal RNA is filed under the name uncultured bacterium. Its description in RNAcentral is "partial 16S ribosomal RNA". It matches the Rfam family "Bacterial small subunit ribosomal RNA", at positions 524 to 776 of the family's 1533-position model. The record is from RNAcentral.
UACGAAGGGGGCUAGCGUUGCUCGGAAUCACUGGGCGUAAAGCGCGCGUAGGCGGUUUUGCAAGCCAGAGGUGAAAUGCCUGAGCUCAACUUAGGAAUUGCCUUUGGGACUGCGAGGCUUUGAGGACUGGAGAGGUGAGUGGAAUUCCCAGUGUAGAGGUGAAAUUCGUAGAUAUUGGGAAGAACACCGGUGGCGAAGGCGGCUCACUGGCCAGUUUCUGACGCUGCAGCGCGAAAGCGUGGGGAUCAAACAGG